Molecule: ribosomal RNA, 109 nt
Filed under: Prevotellaceae bacterium
Lineage: Bacteria; Pseudomonadati; Bacteroidota; Bacteroidia; Bacteroidales; Prevotellaceae
Source: RNAcentral
UAUGGCGGUAAUUGCGGUGAGGAUCCACCUCUUCCCAUUCCGAACAGAGAAGUUAAGCUCAUCAGCGCCGAUGGUACUGCGAAAGCGGGAGAGUAGGUCGCCGCCUCCC